Molecule: ribosomal RNA, 406 nt
Filed under: uncultured bacterium
Lineage: Bacteria
Description: partial 16S ribosomal RNA
Rfam family: Bacterial small subunit ribosomal RNA
Source: RNAcentral
GACGAACGCUGGCGGCGUGCCUAAUACAUGCAAGUCGAACGAGUGGCGGACGGGUGAGUAACACGUGGGAACCUACCCAUCAGAGGGGGAUAACACUUGGAAACAGUUGCUAAUACCGCAUAAUGCUGGAUUGCCCCGCGGUUCAUUAGCUAGUUGGUGAGGUAACUGCUCACCAAGGCCACGAUGCAUAGAGGACCUGAGAGAAUGAGCAGCCACACUGGAACUGAGAAACGGUCCAGACUCCUACGGGAGGCAGCAGGGGGGAAUAUUGGACAAUGGGCGCAAGCCUGAUGCAGCCAUGCCGCGUGUGUGAAGAAGGCCUUCGGGUUGUAAAGCACUUUCAGCGGGGAGGCGUUACCCGCAGAAGAAGCACCGGCUAACUCCGUGCCAGCAGCCGCGGUAAUUC